This is an RNA transcript of Athalia rosae (coleseed sawfly), 7088 nucleotides long. It is a transcript of the gene named condensin-2 complex subunit D3-like, with no coding region annotated. The record is from RefSeq and is a predicted model, not a curated record. The transcript is spliced from 7 exons. Lineage: Eukaryota; Metazoa; Arthropoda; Insecta; Hymenoptera; Athaliidae.
AAAUUUUUAAAUGCUCACCGCGCUAUCUCCCAGGUAAUUCAUGAAUGAAAGGCUACAUAAAGGCACGAGCCUUGUGAUUAAAAAAAAAACUAUGUAAACAUAUAAUACGUCAUAGUACUGUUGAGUGUGUAUCUUAACGAUAAUACCUUGAGGUUAUGCUCAAUCGGCUUAUUCGCCACGACGUUAGUGCAACAUAACAAUCCGAAAACCGACAAAUGUGACCAUGGAACCGUUGAGGAUAUUUGACGACUUUAGGCUUGAUGAUUUAACCGAAACUUGGAUUUCCUCGGUAUGGGACAACGCAUUUUUAACCUUUGCAGAAUUGCCUGAGAAUUACAUGGAACUCAUAAAAAGCGAAGAUAUGAAUGUCUUGCUGACAGAGUCUACAAUUGUGGUCAAAAGAUGGAUAACAGAAUACGAAAAUACCUCACAAGCUGAUUCACAAUGGAAAGAAGUUUCCUGGCAGACUCUGAUAUCGCUUAACAUAAACCCCCGCAGUUUACUUCCAGUUUUAGGCUAUAUAAUAAAAAGUGGGCAGUCUUUUGACGCUGAUGAAGACGCAAGACAGUCCUGUCUGAAAUCCGCCAGUCUUUACUUCACACUGUUAUCUGUACCAGCAAGUAACGCGUUUCAGGUAUUUCACCCAAAUUUGUAUCACUUAGCUUUGAAUACUUUCAAACUAGCUGAUCAUUUGGUAGAACGAUCGAAAAAAUUAAACAGAAAUAUUGACUUGGAAGACUUGUACAACACAGAGGACGAUGAAGAUUAUGUGCUAUUAGUUUCAGAAAAAUCAACUCUCAUUAAAGGACUCAACAGCCUUAUGUUUAAUGUUAUUAUUAUGCUAAAAGAAUUCUACCUACGAGACUAUCCACGAUCUCUAGAAAUUACAGUGCACCUGCUUCUUCAGGUUGGAAAAUUGUCAAGAGAAGUGGUAACAUUUGAUAACUCCUCGCGAGAAAUUGAGGCAUCAAUAAACUCACUUUCCUACAAUGCUUAUACUGCCUUGAAUGGACUAUGCAAAAAAAAACAUGGUUGUAUUGACACAACUAUCAAACUAAUAGCAAAAUUCCUACUGGCCAAUUUAGUGUCGAAUCAGGAUGAACUGCAACCCAAGGAAUUGUUUGUGGUUAGAGAAUCAAUGAUAAACUUCCUGGAAAAAUUGCUGAAAGUUCACAAAGUCGAGGCUCGAAUCGGGAUCUCGACUCUGAUACAACAUUUGAUGACAAAAUGCCCAGACCGAGCUGAGGGCAGGAUGAAGCAGGCAUUAGUGAUACUGAGGCUGAUUAACUCCUGUGAUCAAGAAAUGUACAUCAACGCUAUAGACGAUCUCAUUGCUUUAACACAUUAUGAUAAAGUGGGCUUGAGAAUUUUCGCUCAAGAAAUCAUAGGGCAACUCUUGACUGAGAAUAAUUCUACCCAUUUUCUUACUGAUGAGUCUAACUCUAUGAAUCUCCAAGUUCGGAAAUUACUUCUGGCUACUGUGUUGAGCAGAUGUGUCGACUCGUCAAGCCUAGUGAGGGGAAAAGCUAUGGCCACCCUUGCAGACUGCACUAAUCUUCAAAACAUUUCGAUUUCAAGAAUGAUAAGGGACAUUUUCGAAAGUCCUUUCCCAGAUAAGCCCUUGCCAAAUAUCAAGACACUACAGCAGGCUAUCCCAGAGAAUAUUGAUCCCCUUCCAGGGUCCAAUACCAUCAUUUCCAUGCUCAUUUCUAGGGUAGAUGAUGAGAGAGCUCUUGUACGUCGCAGUGCGCUGCAAACGCUUGGAAACUUGGUCCAUUACUCCGAUGGCCUUCUAAAUAUUUUAAUACCGACUUUGGGAUUGCAUUGCAGAGAUCCUGCAAUAGUUGUAAGGCGGUAUUCUAUACAAGUUUUUACGCAGCUUGUGGAGAAAUUUCCAUCAGAUCCCUUGUUGACUCAGAAGUGGGUAAAACAUGUCUUACCCCAGAUUUUUGACGUUGAGGUCAAAGUACAAGAGAAGGUUCUCGAAUCUCUGCAGCAAUUAGUUGUAAACAACAUCAAACAAUGGGACGCUAACGAUUCCAGCUUUGUCGCAAAUUUACCAUGGCUGAUUUUAGAACAAAUUACUGAACAGAAAAUGCGUAAACACUUGGCCAAAGCCUGUGCAGUAUGGGUGAAGACAGAUGUGGUCUUGAGACCCCAAUUGUUGAUGAUAAAAUCGCAUCUUGGAACCAAAAAUGACAUUCCUGCUUGGGUUUUUCUAUCAGCUAUUGCAAAGUACAAGGAGCUGCCAGACAUGAAUCAUCAUUUUGAUAAGUACAGAGACAUCCUAUGUCAGGAUACUUUUCAAGCAAAUUUGAUAGUAGAGGUGCUCAGAAAUUCAUGGCAAAAUCUAGACAGGAAAUUCUUAGAGGAUCUUCAAUCAGACUUAUUCCAGAACCUCUGCAAGUUCCAAGUAACUUUUAGCUUGAUUAGUGUAUGUUGUGACCUGCUUGUAGAUGUAACAAAAUAUCUGUAUCCCGAAAACGGAGAUCAACGUUUGACGCUGAGUGCCCAAAAUUUGAUGAAGCUAUGUGAAGAACAACUGGAAAGUAUAAUGGAUAACGAAGAGGACUUAGAAGAAAACUUGCCGAUCUACUUGAAAGCGAUCUGCACCUUGGGCAAUGCUUCCCAUCUCUGUACAGAAUUAAUUUCUCCAUCUACACUGCGUACCCUUCAAGGACUGGUCAUAGAAUGGAAGGAUAUACCAGACCCUGUUCGGUAUCCAACAAAACUCCGGGCAGCCGCUGUUACACUUUUGGGGCAACAAGCUAUGAGGGAUAGGGAGAUUGCUCAAGAAAUAUUGCCAGCACUAGGCGAUUUAAUGCGCUCAAGUGCAGCCCCAAAUUCAAACAUUGCGUCUGCUAUAAAAGUUAACGCAGCUAAAGCAUUAGCUGACAUCUGUGUUAGGUUUACAGCCCUAGUAGAACCUUACUUGCCAGACAUGUGCGUCAGUAUGAACGAUCCAAAUCCCAUGAUAAGAGAAGCUAUUCUCAUACUCCUAAUUCAGCUGCUGCUUGAGGACUUCAUCAAAGUCAAAGGCCCUUUCUUUUUCAAUAUUUUGACCAUGCUCACCGAUACCGAUGAGAUGGUUCGUGACUUAACAGUCUUUUUGAUCAAUGAAAGACUACUCAUCAAAAAUAAAACUUUGAUAUUUAGGCAAUUUUUGGAGAGUAUCUUUCAUUACAAUAAUCAUCACUUACCGAGCAAGUUUUCUGCUAGCAGAUUCAACCACAGGGAUAUUCGGAAGUUAACAUUGCCUGGCACGCAUAAUAAGGAGAAACGUAAAAUGAUUUACAACUUUAUGCUCGAACAUCUCGAGCUUCCAGAGAAAUUAAAAAUCAUCAAAAGGCUCAUCACUGAAAUUAUAUCUGCAGUAACGAACGGAACCAUAGACAUACAAAAAGAUGAGGGACUGUCAGUGCUAAUGGAUUGCUUGUACAUUUUGUCAAGCGAAGAAUUGCAACCUGCAUCUUGUAAUAAACGCACAGAAGAAGAAUGUCAGAACGAAAGUAUUAUUACAGAAAAUCCCUUAGCUAAUAAUGCUGCCACAGGUAUAAUCAAUGAAAUGAAAAAGCAGAGGAUAGAAAUCUUAGUCCCAAGUUUGGUAAAGCUUAAGAAAAAACUAGCCAAGACCUCGUCGCCUUUUGUAAAAUAUGUUGCAAGGUAUUACCUUGAUAUUGUCAACAAAUAUAAGCAGGAACAACUUGAAAGCAUAUUCAACGAGGAUCCACGGUUAGAAACAGAGAUCCAAAGCGAUCAGAGGAAAUAUGGAACAGAAUCUGGCAGUGAAGAAGAAUGUGAUAAAGAACCUUCGGAAACACCAAUUUCCUCUCCAUCGAAUCUGGCAUUGACAUGCCAAGAGCGACUGCCUAGAAUUGUUUUACGCCGAUUAUCAUCCCUUACAUAUCCUGGUAUCAACAGCUGGAGAAGUCCUACACAUUCAUCAAGAUUUGAAGCAUCAUCAACACGGUUCGAAUGUUCAAGUCUUGAAACUCCAAAAAAGUUUACGGAUAACUCAAAAGUAUCAAGGAAACGAAAAGCUGCCCGAAACCUUUGUUCCCAAACAUCUAGUGACGGCAGUCAAUCCCCAAGGAUUGAUAGCAACGAAGCUGAACUUACAGGAUUUGGAAAUGAUUUAGAUUAGGUUUUCUCUGAACACGAGAAGCUGUCUCGGAGAUUACCUGCGUCCUAGUAUCCAGUUCAGCUUGGAUUUCUGUGAAACUUAAUGUUUAGCAAUCAACUCCUACCUACCGACCCAUCGGAGGCACAUGAUUUCACCGCAUCUCAUCGCCGGUAAGCCCGCUGACAACGAGUGAUAAAAGCUCGAGUAGUAAAACAUCAUUACGCAACUCGUGCAACAAAACGUUACGGUAUAUCUAAUAUACACGUAUUUAUAUUCUCUCAUUUUUUAUCUAUGGCAAUUAUUAUUACGCAUGUAAUGACCGGCAGCGAUAAUUAUAAACAACUCUCUGACUGCUUCAUGGUUGAUGCGCGUAAGUGAGGCUUUGCGAAUCGAGGUACUACGAUUAUAAUUAGGUGUACAGGAAAGCUUUUAUAAUGCUCGUGUAAUUAAACCAAAUUGGAUAUCAUCAAGGUCCACUUCUGAUCAGCUGUCCGUUGCAAAAUUCUACAACGUCGAAUAAUAUUUUCCUUCAAUACGGGUGAAAGAAGUUCGUAGUUGUUUUAAAAAUUUCAAGCACCAACAGUAUACGUAUGAGGUAAACCGCAGAAGGUGGCUGUGCACCAGCAAAUCAAGAUCGCGAGAAACUUAAGAACGCUGUUUCUGUAUCCGUUACGCAUACCUAUAUGCGACUUGAAGAAACCUGAGAAUCUAAGAUCAUGUACUCCUGCUAACACUUUCCAGUAGCAACUACAUUUCUGAGAGAGGAAAAGCUGUCUUGUUUCAUCAAGUGCUUUCAUAAUCAAUCGAUUUUCCGGUCCCAAUUUCAUAUCCAUCCUCCGUGUUACGUGGAUUUGCCAAAAAAAGAGCUCAUCGCAAAAUCAUGAAAUAGUGUGAAUGUCGUUAAAACUGUCCAUCCCCUCUCCAAUGUCAGACAUCCGCUGGCAACGGAUGCGAAAAUAUAUUCGGAUCCUUGAAAUUCGGUGGAUCCAAGGUCGUGGCGUUCCGUAAGAAAUAUUACUGAUCUGCACCCUGUUGCAACAAUUCAGCAACUGCAUCAGCAUGUCCACCAGCGGCUGCCAAAAUCAAAGGGGUUGUACCAUCCUGAAAAUACGAAUUGUUUCGAAGCAAAAAUAAUUUUUUCACAAAGCUGAUGUAAACAAAAAUGUCUGUUUUUUUUUAAUUCCAGCUCACCAACCUUGUCUUUGCAGUCUACGUGAACUCUUCCAGAUUCCAAAAGUACUUGAAGACGUUUAGCGUCGCCUUUUGCCGCUGCAAGAUGCAACUCGACAUCCCAAGGGGACUCUUUCUGCGUCAAUAAAGAGAAGAGGUGAAAAAAGAAUGCAAUCGAAUAUGUACUGAGUUACCGAGGAGUUUCAAAAUGUUCGGCGAACGUAUGUUUAUCUGAUCUUGAAAAUCACUCCUGAUUUCCAACGGAAGCUGUAGGUGCAGCUGAAGCUACUAGGUAAUUGCGUAAGCCAGCGAAGCACGAGCUGCUAAUUAGUAAUUAGUAGCGGGUCAACGUUAAUUUCUAACAUCGUAUGAAAAGAUAACUCCAAGUAAAUGAAUCCUAGAUGUUUAGAUAAAUCAGUUUCGAUGGCACGAGCCAUUGCUGGCAACUAUAACAACGGGCUCUUAAUAAAAUCAAACCAAUAAAGUGGCUAGUAGAUGAGAAGCAACGCUAAAGGCUAACUACUGGACCCUGUCGCACAAAUAGGAGCAGUAGCCUCGUCAUUAUUACGGUUAACAGUAUUCUAGACAUUCUUUUUGUAAUCGUUCGAUGAGAGCAAAAUUGCCAAGAUGUUUUCAGAUUUGCAUCUUGGUGCUAAUUUAACGUUGCGGAGCCAACAGGUGACAAUAUCCACUUAUUAUUGGGUUGAGCCUUUAUAAGACCGGAUCAUUGGUUACUAUUUGUUAGAGACAAAAUCGUCUCGGAAGACUCAAUGAACGGGAUUUGAAAAUUUACCGAGGUCAUCAUGUUUCCUUUGGCAUUUAAUCUUUACGACGUGCUGAAUGGAGAUACAACAAAUUCGUCAAGGUCGAACAGUUUAUUUACAGUAGCCACAUUGUAUAAUGGUUUUCUAUACCGGAAUUGAGCAGAGCCCGAUUCGCAGGGUAAAUAUUUCAUUUUUCAAAAUCUAUUCUUUGUUUUAAUCUGGUACACACAUUAUGUAAUGUAAUAGGCGUGUCUCUCGAGACUCAAUUAUUUGCCGUUCGUGUUUGAAAAAAAAAGUAAUGAAAAAAUAUCACAUUACGUCGUAGACUCGCGCUAAUUAUGCACCGGUUACGGACAGAUAGCAAAAGAUGUAAGUGAUACUGAUCUCUGAAUAUAAUUCAUCUAUUUAUAGGAGUUACGAACUUAUCAAAUCUUUUUAUUAGAGUUAUUAUUUGAAUUAAAACCCACGCGUUCGCCUACUAUAAGUAGCUAAUUGUAAGUGUGAUAUUAUUCUAGAGAACAUUGAAUUAAUUUACCAAUUUCAAUUGUUAUGUAUAAAAUUCUACGAGCAUUAUGGACCAAAAAUGAUGUUUUGCUAUUCGCAUACAGUUAUUAUUAUAAUUGCGGUUUUACAGGACAAUACUAUAAUUAUGUAUAAUUGAUCGCUUUUAAAGGGGAUCGCGCGCAUAGCAUGAAAACACGCUUAACAGAUGAUCAUCGCGGCUUCUCUUUUUAAAGAUAAUGAAAUCUAGAAAUCUAUUAGAGUAUUAACUUAGAAUUAACUUACCUUCAUGGACAUGGCAGGAUAAGCGUUUUUAUUAAUAUUCCAAAAAUAACGUGCAUAUAAAUAUUAUGAAUGGCAAAAAUUAUGGAGAACUAGAAGAAAACCACUUCUUUCAUCAAUGAAAAUUAUAUUCUACAAACUCACUUCAGACCGAUUUUAUUUAAUUGUUUCCGUUUAUUUAUUUAUAAUUCAUAUCUUAAUCCCGUACAGUCCGCGCGAAUAAUUUAUAUAAUUUUCUCCAACGUGUU